Long non-coding RNA from Lontra canadensis (Northern American river otter), 397 nucleotides. RefSeq lists it as uncharacterized. The record is from RefSeq and is a predicted model, not a curated record. The transcript is spliced from 3 exons. Lineage: Eukaryota; Metazoa; Chordata; Mammalia; Carnivora; Mustelidae.
UCCGCCAACAGCCACUAUCAAUGCUGUGGAGAGGUCUGGCACUUUUCAGCAAGAUGACAAAGACAGUGAAGUGACAGCUAAGAACUUCCUCACGGUGUUCUCCCACUUCUUCAUUCCUAUUACAUCACCACGACAGGUCAAAUUUCACUGUAAGAAACAAAAGAUCUGUUUGGAUCUGAUUUGCGGGCCUUGCCCACGCCCCACUGACCAAUGGCGUAAGCCUGCUGCCCGUGCUGUUGAACACAACAGUCCUAAGCUUGCUUGAAAUCAGUCCAGCAUUUCCUUCCCAACCGGGCUGGAGAAAGGAAACAGCAGAACCAGGAGUUGCUGCAGACUGGACUUGAGGUAGGUGCAACCCCUAAAGUCAGAGCAAGUCCCUUCAGGCGAAGCAACACUU